This 253-nucleotide ribosomal RNA is filed under the name uncultured bacterium. Its description in RNAcentral is "partial 16S ribosomal RNA". It matches the Rfam family "Bacterial small subunit ribosomal RNA", at positions 524 to 776 of the family's 1533-position model. The record is from RNAcentral.
UACGUAGGGUCCGAGCGUUGUCCGGAUUUAUUGGGCGUAAAGAGCUCGUAGGCGGUUUGUCGCGUCUGCUGUGAAAACCCGAGGCUCAACCUCGGGCCUGCAGUGGGUACGGGCAAACUAGAGUGCGGUAGGGGAGAUUGGAAUUCCUGGUGUAGCGGUGGAAUGCGCAGAUAUCAGGAGGAACACCGAUGGCGAAGGCAGAUCUCUGGGCCGUAACUGACGCUGAGGAGCGAAAGCGUGGGGAGCGAACAGG